Non-coding RNA from Podarcis lilfordi (Lilford's wall lizard), 72 nucleotides. Lineage: Eukaryota; Metazoa; Chordata; Lepidosauria; Squamata; Lacertidae. The record is from the annotation of a GenBank genome assembly.
AGCUAGAAGCUCGGUUGGUAGAGCAUGAGACCCUGAAUUUCAGGACUGUGGGUUCGAGCCCCAUGUUGGGUG